UCAGUCGGCCGGACGGCCGCUCCGGUAAGGCUCGAAAGGGCGCCGGGGAGGAAAGUCCGGGCUCCACGGACACACGGUGCCGGAUAACGUCCGGCGAGUCCGGUCUCCGCUUCCCGGAGACAGGGCCUAGGGAAAGUGCCACAGAAAAGUGAGACCGCCUCGGCCGCGUUGCGUAUUGGCGCGAGGCAAGGGUGAAACGGUGCGGUAAGAGCGCACCGCGUUUGCGGCGACGCAGACGGCACGGCAAACCCCACCGGGAGCAAAACCGAAUAGGAACGGCGCGGGACUUGUCUUCGCGAAAGCGGGACACUCUCAGGUCUGUCCGGACCAGCCGUUCGGGUAGGUUGCUUCAGGCGCCGGGCAACCGGCGUCGCAGAGGAAUGGCCGUCACGUUCGCAUCGCGAGAUGCGGGCCAUACAGAACCCGGCUUACAGGCGGGCUGACAUC
This 447-nucleotide RNase P RNA is filed under the name Pseudorhodoplanes sp. RNAcentral's name for it is "RNase P RNA component class A". It matches the Rfam family "Bacterial RNase P class A". From Rfam's summary of the family: Ribonuclease P (RNase P) is a ubiquitous endoribonuclease, found in archaea, bacteria and eukarya as well as chloroplasts and mitochondria. Its best characterised activity is the generation of mature 5'-ends of tRNAs by cleaving the 5'-leader elements of precursor-tRNAs. Lineage: Bacteria; Pseudomonadati; Pseudomonadota; Alphaproteobacteria; Hyphomicrobiales. The record is from RNAcentral.